RNAcentral lists this ribosomal RNA (274 nucleotides) under uncultured bacterium. RNAcentral describes it as "partial 16S ribosomal RNA". It matches the Rfam family "Bacterial small subunit ribosomal RNA", at positions 523 to 796 of the family's 1533-position model. The record is from RNAcentral.
CUACGGAGGGAGCAAGCGUUAUUCGGAAUCACUGGGCGUAAAGGACGCGUAGGCGGGUUUGUAAGUCAGGUGUGAAAUCCUACAGCUCAACUGUAGAACUGCACUUGAAACUACAGACCUAGAGUAUGGAAGGGGCAGAUGGAAUUAGUGGUGUAGGGGUAAAAUCCGUAGAUAUCACUAGGAAUACCGAAAGCGAAGGCGAUCUGCUGGGACAUUACUGACGCUGAGGCGUGAAAGCGUGGGGAGCAAACAGGAUUAGAAACCCCUGUAGUCC